UUAGUAUGCUGUGCUAUUUUAGACAGAGUUUCAAAGUCAAGCAGGGUCAGCCCUGGUUAGUACUCAGAAGAAAGACCACCUGAGAAGCCAUAGGCUGCAGGCUAGA
Molecule: ribosomal RNA, 106 nt
Filed under: Salvator merianae (Argentine black and white tegu)
Lineage: Eukaryota; Metazoa; Chordata; Lepidosauria; Squamata; Teiidae
Source: RNAcentral